UGCUUUGCAGCAGCUGAGCUAGUAGCACACAUGAUAUCUUAAAUGUAACAAUCAAAGGAGCAUGCAAGAUUUUGGAAUUUCCGCUGACUUGCAGAUGUGCAUGCCCAGCUCCAAUAGAUCUAAUACCUACUUUAAACAAAAGCAGCUCAAACAUAAUAACAUCUUAUUGCCAUGUGUCAACACUCAAAAGUGUUUGGGGAGAAAGAAGCCAGAAUUAGUAACAAUGAGGAACAAGAAGCAAAGUCUGCAAGUGGUUCAUGUUUACACUAGAUGGCAGAGAAGCUGUGCACCCUGGGAGCUGGGAGUGGCUUACGCCAAUAUCAGUUUGGAAAAGCUGGUUAUGACCAUAUACGUACUGUAUCUUUCCCAUGUCUGGUAUUAAUAAACUCAAGAGGACCACCUGUCAUGCAACUACAGCCCUCCGAGGAUUUUUGUGUGGCCCUUAGAACCGACCAGUAGAAAGCAGAAAUCAGAC
Molecule: long non-coding RNA, 475 nt
Organism: Bombina bombina (fire-bellied toad)
Lineage: Eukaryota; Metazoa; Chordata; Amphibia; Anura; Bombinatoridae
Exons: 4
Source: RefSeq, a predicted model, not a curated record